UAGUCCACGCUGUAAACGAUGUCGAUUUGGAGUUUGUUGCCUAGAGUGAUGGGCUCCGAAGCUAACGCGAUAAAUCGACCGCUGGGGAGUACGGCCGCAAGGUUAAAACUCAAAUGAAUUGACGGGGGCCCGCACAAGCGGUGGAGCAUGUGGUUUAAUUCGAUGCAACGCGAAGAACCUUACCUGGUCUUGACAUCCAUAGAAUUCUGCAGAGAUGUGGGAGUGCCUUCGGGAACUAUGAGACAGGUGCUGCAUGGCUGUCGUCAGCUCGUGUUGUGAAAUGUUGGGUUAAGUCCCGCAACGAGCGCAACCCUUAUUCUUUGUUGCCAGCGAUUUGGUCGGGAACUCAAAGGAGACUGCCGUUGAUAAAGCGGAGGAAGGUGGGGACGACGUCAAGUCAUCAUGGCCCUUACGACCAGGGCUACACACGUGCUACAAUGGCGUAUACAAAGGGAAGCGAAGGUGCGAGCUGGAGCGGAUCUCAUAAAGUACGUCUAAGUUCGGAUUGGAGUCUGCAACUCGACUCCAUGAAGUCGGAAUCGCUAGUAAUCGUAGAUCAGAAUGCUACGGUGAAUACGUUCCCGGGCCUUGUACACACCGCCCGUCACACCAUGGGAGUGGGUUGCACCAGAAGUAGAUAGCUUAACCGCGAGGGGGGCGUUCACCACGGUGUGAUUCAUGACUGGGGUGAAGUCGUAACAAGGUAACCA
This 710-nucleotide ribosomal RNA is filed under the name uncultured Enterobacteriaceae bacterium. RNAcentral describes it as "bacterial SSU rRNA". It matches the Rfam family "Bacterial small subunit ribosomal RNA", at positions 791 to 1502 of the family's 1533-position model. Lineage: Bacteria; Pseudomonadati; Pseudomonadota; Gammaproteobacteria; Enterobacterales; Enterobacteriaceae. The record is from RNAcentral.